RNAcentral lists this ribosomal RNA (1750 nucleotides) under Listeria monocytogenes. Its description in RNAcentral is "bacterial LSU rRNA". It matches the Rfam family "Bacterial large subunit ribosomal RNA", at positions 1181 to 2925 of the family's 2925-position model. The record is from RNAcentral. Lineage: Bacteria; Bacillati; Bacillota; Bacilli; Caryophanales; Listeriaceae.
CUAAACAUAUUACCGAAACUGUGGAUGAACCUCUUUAGAGGUUCGUGGUAGGAGAGCGUUCUAAGGGCGGUGAAGUCAGACCGGAAGGACUGGUGGAGCGCUUAGAAGUGAGAAUGCCGGUAUGAGUAGCGAAAGAAGGGUGAGAAUCCCUUCCACCGAAUAUCUAAGGUUUCCUGAGGAAGGCUCGUCCGCUCAGGGUUAGUCGGGACCUAAGCCGAGGCCGAUAGGCGUAGGCGAUGGACAACAGGUAGAGAUUCCUGUACCAGUGCUAAUUGUUUAACCGAUGGGGUGACACAGAAGGAUAGGGAAUCGCACGAAUGGAAAUGUGCGUCCAAGCAGUGAGUGUGAGAAGUAGGCAAAUCCGCUUCUCGCGAAGCAUGAGCUGUGAUGGGGAAGGAAAUUAAGUACGGAAGUUCCUGAUUUCACGCUGUCAAGAAAAGCCUCUAGGAAGAGUAGUACUGCCCGUACCGCAAACCGACACAGGUAGAUGAGGAGAGAAUCCUAAGGUGAGCGAGAGAACUCUCGUUAAGGAACUCGGCAAAAUGACCCCGUAACUUCGGGAGAAGGGGUGCUCUAUUAGGGUGCAAGCCCGAGAGAGCCGCAGUGAAUAGGCCCAGGCGACUGUUUAGCAAAAACACAGGUCUCUGCAAAACCGUAAGGUGACGUAUAGGGGCUGACGCCUGCCCGGUGCUGGAAGGUUAAGAGGAGUGCUUAGCUUCGGCGAAGGUACGAAUUGAAGCCCCAGUAAACGGCGGCCGUAACUAUAACGGUCCUAAGGUAGCGAAAUUCCUUGUCGGGUAAGUUCCGACCCGCACGAAAGGCGCAACGAUCUGGGCACUGUCUCAACGAGAGACUCGGUGAAAUUAUAGUACCUGUGAAGAUGCAGGUUACCCGCGACAGGACGGAAAGACCCCGUGGAGCUUUACUGCAACCUGAUAUGGAAUGUUUGUACCGCUUGUACAGGAUAGGUAGGAGCCGAAGAGACGUGUGCGCUAGCAUACGAGGAGGCAAUGGUGGGAUACUACCCUGGCUGUAUGACCAUUCUAACCCGCCACGCUUAGCGCGUGGGGAGACAGUGUCAGGUGGGCAGUUUGACUGGGGCGGUCGCCUCCUAAAGAGUAACGGAGGCGCCCAAAGGUUCCCUCAGAAUGGAUGGAAAUCAUUCGCAGAGUGUAAAGGCACAAGGGAGCUUGACUGCGAGACUGACAAGUCGAGCAGGGACGAAAGUCGGGCUUAGUGAUCCGGUGGUUCCGCAUGGAAGGGCCAUCGCUCAACGGAUAAAAGCUACCCCGGGGAUAACAGGCUUAUCUCCCCCAAGAGUCCACAUCGACGGGGAGGUUUGGCACCUCGAUGUCGGCUCGUCGCAUCCUGGGGCUGUAGUCGGUCCCAAGGGUUGGGCUGUUCGCCCAUUAAAGCGGCACGCGAGCUGGGUUCAGAACGUCGUGAGACAGUUCGGUCCCUAUCCGUCGCGGGCGCAGGAAAUUUGAGAGGAGCUGUCCUUAGUACGAGAGGACCGGGAUGGACACACCGCUGGUGUACCAGUUGUUCCGCCAGGAGCAUCGCUGGGUAGCUAUGUGUGGCAGGGAUAAACGCUGAAAGCAUCUAAGCGUGAAGCCCCCCUCAAGAUGAGAUUUCCCAUUUCUUCGGAAAGUAAGAUCCCUGAAAGAUGAUCAGGUAGAUAGGUUUGGAGUGGAAGUGUAGCGAUACAUGGAGCGGACAAAUACUAAUCGAUCGAGGACUUAACCAAAAA